This 72-nucleotide transfer RNA is filed under the name Sphaerodactylus townsendi. Its description in RNAcentral is "tRNA-Ala". It matches the Rfam family "tRNA". From Rfam's summary of the family: Transfer RNA (tRNA) molecules are approximately 80 nucleotides in length. Their secondary structure includes four short double-helical elements and three loops (D, anti-codon, and T loops). Further hydrogen bonds mediate the characteristic L-shaped molecular structure. tRNAs have two regions of fundamental functional importance: the anti-codon, which is responsible for specific mRNA codon recognition, and the 3' end, to which the tRNAs corresponding amino acid is attached (by aminoacyl-tRNA synthetases). tRNAs cope with the degeneracy of the genetic code in two manners: having more than one tRNA (with a specific anti-codon) for a particular amino acid; and 'wobble' base-pairing, i.e. permitting non-standard base-pairing at the 3rd anti-codon position. The record is from RNAcentral. Lineage: Eukaryota; Metazoa; Chordata; Lepidosauria; Squamata; Sphaerodactylidae.
GGGGCUGUGGCUCAAUGGUACAGCCUCUACCUUGCAUGUAGAAGGUCCCAAGUUCGAUCCCUGGCAUCUUCC